GCAAACUUGGUCAUUUAGAGGAAGUAAAAGUCGUAACAAGGUUUCCGUAGGUGAACCUGCGGAAGGAUCAUUAACGAAGCAUUAGAAGGGUUGUAGCUGCCUCGAAAGAGGAUGUGCACACCUUUCAAAUCUUCUAUUUAACCACUUGUGCACUCUUACAUGGGAUUGUAUUGUGGUGAGAGGUGUUGAGCCUUUCAUUGCUUUACAUUCUUAUGUUUUUUAUACACACUAAAAGUUAUUGUAUGGUUGUUAUACGGAUUGUAAUGAUCUGUAAUAAUUUAAAUACAACUUUCAGCAACGGAUCUCUUGGCUCUCGCAUCGAUGAAGAACGCAGC
RNAcentral lists this unclassified non-coding RNA (335 nucleotides) under uncultured fungus. RNAcentral's name for it is "partial contains small subunit ribosomal RNA, internal transcribed spacer 1, and 5.8S ribosomal RNA". The stretch from base 1 to 73 matches the Rfam family "Eukaryotic small subunit ribosomal RNA", at positions 1759 to 1831 of the family's 1831-position model. The record is from RNAcentral. Lineage: Eukaryota; Fungi.